GGAAUGUGGCUCAGUGGUAGCGCGAUCGCCUAGCAUGCGUGAGGCACUGGGUUUGAUUCUCAGCACCA
RNAcentral lists this transfer RNA (68 nucleotides) under Marmota monax (woodchuck). RNAcentral's name for it is "tRNA.Ala". The record is from RNAcentral. Lineage: Eukaryota; Metazoa; Chordata; Mammalia; Rodentia; Sciuridae.